ACUCCUACGGGAGGCAGCAGUGGGGAAUAUUGGGCAAUGGAGGAAACUCUGACCCAGCGACGCCGCGUGCGGGAUGAAGGCCUUCGGGUUGUAAACCGCUUUCAGCAGGGAAGAAGCGAAAGUGACGGUACCUGCAGAAGAAGCACCGGCUAACUAUGUGCCAGCAGCCGCGGUAAU
Molecule: ribosomal RNA, 177 nt
Filed under: uncultured bacterium
Lineage: Bacteria
Description: partial 16S ribosomal RNA
Rfam family: Bacterial small subunit ribosomal RNA
Source: RNAcentral